CCUACGGGAGGCAGCAGUGAGGAAUAUUGGUCAAUGGGCGAGAGCCUGAACCAGCCAAGUCGCGUGAGGGAGGACGGCCCUACGGGUUGUAAACCUCUUUUGCCGGGGGACAAACGGCGGCACGCGUGCCGUCCUGAGGGUACCCGGAGAAAAAGCAUCGGCUAACUCCGUGCCAGCAGCCGCGGUAAUACGGAGGAUGCGAGCGUUAUCCGGAUUUAUUGGGCGUAAAGCGCUCGUAGGCGGUAUGUCAAGUCAAGGGUGAAAUCCCCGCGCUCAACGUGGGAACUGCCUUUGAAACUGGCAAACUGGAGUGUGUGAGAGGAUAGUGGAAUUCCAGGUGUAGGAGUGAAAUCCGUAGAUAUCUGGAGGAACAUCAGUGGCGAAGGCGACUAUCUGGCACAUAACUGACGCUGAGGAGCGAAAGCGUGGGUAGCAAACAGGAUUAGAUACCCCUGUAGUC
Molecule: ribosomal RNA, 460 nt
Filed under: uncultured bacterium
Lineage: Bacteria
Description: partial 16S ribosomal RNA
Rfam family: Bacterial small subunit ribosomal RNA
Source: RNAcentral